CGGACGGGNGAGUAACGCGUAGAAUCUGCCUUCAGGUCUGGGACAACCACUGGAAACGGUGGCUAAUACCGGAUGUGCCGAGAGGUGAAAGGUUAACUGCCUGAAGAUGAGCUCGCGUCUGAUUAGCUAGUUGGAAGUGUAAUGGACUCCCAAGGCGACGAUCAGUAGCUGGUCUGAGAGGACGAUCAGCCACACUGGGACUGAGACACGGCCCAGACUCCUACGGGAGGCAGCAGUGGGGAAUUUUCCGCAAUGGGCGAAAGCCUGACGGAGCAAUACCGCGUGAGGGAGGAAGGCUCUUGGGUCGUAAACCUCUUUUCUCAGGGAAGAAAAAAAUGACGGUACCUGAGGAAUAAGCAUCGGCUAACUCCGUGCCAGCAGCCGCGGUAAUACGGAGGAUGCAAGCGUUAUCCGGAAUGAUUGGGCGUAAAGCGUCCGCAGGUGGCAAUGUAAGUCUGCUGUUAAAGAGUGAGGCUCAACCUCAUAAGAGCAGUGGAAACUACAUAGCUAGAGUACGUUCGGGGCAGAGGGAAUUCCUGGUGUAGCGGUGAAAUGCGUAGAGAUCAGGAAGAACACCGGUGGCGAAGGCGCUCUGCUAGGCCGUAACUGACACUGAGGGACGAAAGCUAGGGGAGCGAAAGGGAUUANAUACCCCUGUAGUCAA
Molecule: ribosomal RNA, 664 nt
Filed under: Nostoc sp. HS096
Lineage: Bacteria; Bacillati; Cyanobacteriota; Cyanophyceae; Nostocales; Nostocaceae
Description: bacterial SSU rRNA
Rfam family: Bacterial small subunit ribosomal RNA
Source: RNAcentral